GACGAACGCUGGCGGCGCGCUUAACACAUGCAAGUCGAACGGAAAGGCCUGCUUUCCCUUGUGGAUUGCGGGUACUCGAGUGGCGAACGGGUGAGUAACACGUGAGUGAUCUGCCCCCAACUUGGGUAUAAGCCUGGGAAACUGGGUCUAAUUCCCGAUAGGACUGCAGGGUGGUGCCUGUGGUGGAAAACGAUUUUCUAGUGGUUGGGGAUGAGCUCGCGGCCUAUCAGCUUGUUGGUGGGGUAAUGGCCUACCAAGGCGGCGACGGGUAGCCGGCCUGGGAGGGUGGACGGCCUCAUUGGGACUGAGAUACGGCCCAGACUCCUACGGGAGGCAGCAGUGGGGAAUAUUGCACAAUGGGCGGAAGCCUGAUGCAGCGACGCCGCGUGGGGGAUGACGGCCUUCGGGUUGUAAACUCCUUUCGACCGCGAGGAAGCCACCUGGUUGGAAGGGUGGUGACGGUAGUGGUAGAAGAAGCACCGGCUAACUACGUG
This 494-nucleotide ribosomal RNA is filed under the name uncultured bacterium. RNAcentral's name for it is "partial 16S ribosomal RNA". It matches the Rfam family "Bacterial small subunit ribosomal RNA", at positions 28 to 507 of the family's 1533-position model. The record is from RNAcentral.